RNAcentral lists this ribosomal RNA (597 nucleotides) under uncultured bacterium. Its description in RNAcentral is "bacterial SSU rRNA". It matches the Rfam family "Bacterial small subunit ribosomal RNA", at positions 338 to 948 of the family's 1533-position model. The record is from RNAcentral.
CCUACGGGAGGCAGCAGUGGGGAAUCUUGCGCAAUGGGCGAAAGCCUGACGCAGCAACGCCGCGUGCGGGAAGAAGGCUUUCGGGCUGUAAACCGCUUUCAGCAGGAACGAAAAUGACGGUACCUGCAGAAGAAGGAGCGGCCAACUAUGUGCCAGCAGCCGCGGUGAUACAUAGGCUUCAAGCGUUGUCCGGAUUUAUUGGGCGUAAAGAGUUCGUAGGUCGGUCGAGUAAGUCGGGUGUGAAAAUUCUGGGCUCAACCCAGAGACGCCACCCGAUACUGCUUGACUUGAGUUCGAUAGGGGAGUGGGGAAUUCCUAGUGUAGCGGUGAAAUGCGCAGAUAUUAGGAGGAACACCGGUGGCGAAGGCGCCACUCUGGAUCGAUACUGACGCUGAGGAACGAAAGCAUGGGUAGCAAACAGGAUUAGAUACCCUGUAGUCCAUGCCGUAAACGGUGGGCACUAGGUGUGGGUUUCUAUUAACGAAAUCCGCCGCCGUCGACUAACGCAUUAGUCGCCCCGCCGUGGGAGUACGGUCGCAAGACUAAACUACAAAGGAAUUGACGGCGNGAGACGCGCGACGACGACGACGAGGAGAG